Molecule: ribosomal RNA, 253 nt
Filed under: uncultured bacterium
Lineage: Bacteria
Description: partial 16S ribosomal RNA
Rfam family: Bacterial small subunit ribosomal RNA
Source: RNAcentral
UACGUAGGGGGCAAGCGUUGUCCGGGUUUAUUGGGCGUAAAGCGCGUGUAGGCGGCCAGAAAAGUCCGCUGUGAAAACUCGAGGCUCAACUUCGAGCUGUCGGUGGAAACUUUCUGGCUAGAGUCCGGAAGAGGAGAAUGGAAUUCCUGGUGUAGCGGUGAAAUGCGCAGAUAUCAGGAAGAACACCCGUGGCGAAGGCGGUUCUCUGGGACGGUACUGACGCUGAGACGCGAAAGCGUGGGGAGCGAACAGG